This 245-nucleotide ribosomal RNA is filed under the name uncultured bacterium. RNAcentral's name for it is "partial 16S ribosomal RNA". It matches the Rfam family "Bacterial small subunit ribosomal RNA", at positions 533 to 776 of the family's 1533-position model. The record is from RNAcentral.
GGCUAGCGUUGUUCGGAAUCACUGGGCGUAAAGCGCACGCAGGCGGGUCGUUAAGUCAGGGGUGAAAUGCCGAGGCUCAACCUCGGAACUGCCUUUGAUACUGGCGAUCUUAGAGUCCGGGAGAGGUGAGUGGAACUCCGAGUGUAGAGGUGAAAUUCGUAGAUAUUCGGAAGAACACCAGUGGCGAAGGCGGCUCACUGGCCCGGUACUGACGCUCAGGUGCGAAGGCGUGGGGAGCAAACAGG